This 1137-nucleotide long non-coding RNA is filed under the name Cervus hanglu yarkandensis (Yarkand deer). RNAcentral describes it as "lncRNA (ENSCHYG00000006154.1)". The record is from RNAcentral. Lineage: Eukaryota; Metazoa; Chordata; Mammalia; Artiodactyla; Cervidae.
CCUCUGGGUCUCAGAGCAAACAAGGAUGCUGAGUUAGAUUUCUCUCUGAUGCAAACCCUGAAUGAUAUUGCUUUUCAUUUAGGGAAUCCUCACCAGACUGGGAAGGCAAGGAGAAGCACACCCUGACUGUGGCCCACACCCAUGGGAGCUGUUGUUCAUGACAGCACUUUGGCUCUUUCCACCAUCCGUUUGAGAGCAUUCAGUUUCCUCGACCCACAGAUGAUGGUGUCAGGACACAGGAAGGGGCUGGAGGAAGGGAGGAGGACUGAACCUGGGGACUUCUGCCAUCUUCCCCUGAAGACCAGGCCAUUCCUAACAUCCAGUUCCCUGGUAGCUCAGCUGAUAAAGAAUCUGCCUACAAUGCAGGAGACCUGAGUUGGAUCCCUGGGUUGGGAAGAUUGCCUGGCGGAGGGCAUGGCAACCCACUCCAAUAUUCUUGUCUGGAGAAUCCCCAGGGACAGAGGAGCCUGACAGGCUACAUACAGUUCAUGGAGUUGAAAAGAGUCGGACACAACUGAGUGGCUAAGUACAUACAGUCCUUGUACGUCUGUUAUGGGCCGUAUGGAACUGUGGGCUUUCUUCCACACCACACCGCCACUGCAGGGAGUCCCGUUUGGUGGUCUUUCAGAGAGAUCUCAACCUACCAGCAUUUUGCCACCAUUUCCACUACCCUGUGGUUAUUUCAUGUUAUUGUGGAGCUAAGAUGCUUGAUAACUCCCUGACCUACUGUUUUCUGGAGAACACUGGAUUCUCCCAAAUUUGUCUGCUCACGCCUAGUCCUUCCUAUACCCAUUGGCUUUGGGAUCUGUAUGUCUGCCCCAGGGUAGGGGUGGAGGGGACCUCCCACAUUCACAGCUGACCUCUUACCCUUUACCUCACAUUCCCAUCUGACCUCCUGACCUCACCACUUCUUUCCUUUAUCUUUUUGUCUAACCCAAAGUGCCUGUCCGUCCUAUCCUGCCUCUCUACACUGGCUUUUAGCAAAGCUUUUCCUCUAAUACUUUGAAAAGAGUUCUGAGAAACUUGAACAUUUUUAGCUUGAUACCUAAAUUCCUUUUAUUGUAAGUUUAAUAAUAGCAAAAGGUGUAAUCUCUGGUGUACUUUACUUACAUACUCUAAAUGUACCUUUAUGUCAAA